RNAcentral lists this ribosomal RNA (678 nucleotides) under Staphylococcus aureus. RNAcentral describes it as "partial 23S ribosomal RNA". It matches the Rfam family "Bacterial large subunit ribosomal RNA", at positions 252 to 929 of the family's 2925-position model. The record is from RNAcentral. Lineage: Bacteria; Bacillati; Bacillota; Bacilli; Caryophanales; Staphylococcaceae.
AGCGAAACGGGAAGAGCCCAAACCAACAAGCUUGCUUGUUGGGGUUGUAGGACACUCUAUACGGAGUUACAAAGGACGACAUUAGACGAAUCAUCUGGAAAGAUGAAUCAAAGAAGGUAAUAAUCCUGUAGUCGAAAAUGUUGUCUCUCUUGAGUGGAUCCUGAGUACGACGGAGCACGUGAAAUUCCGUCGGAAUCUGGGAGGACCAUCUCCUAAGGCUAAAUACUCUCUAGUGACCGAUAGUGAACCAGUACCGUGAGGGAAAGGUGAAAAGCACCCCGGAAGGGGAGUGAAAUAGAACCUGAAACCGUGUGCUUACAAGUAGUCAGAGCCCGUUAAUGGGUGAUGGCGUGCCUUUUGUAGAAUGAACCGGCGAGUUACGAUUUGAUGCAAGGUUAAGCAGUAAAUGUGGAGCCGUAGCGAAAGCGAGUCUGAAUAGGGCGUUUAGUAUUUGGUCGUAGACCCGAAACCAGGUGAUCUACCCUUGGUCAGGUUGAAGUUCAGGUAACACUGAAUGGAGGACCGAACCGACUUACGUUGAAAAGUGAGCGGAUGAACUGAGGGUAGCGGAGAAAUUCCAAUCGAACCUGGAGAUAGCUGGUUCUCUCCGAAAUAGCUUUAGGGCUAGCCUCAAGUGAUGAUUAUUGGAGGUAGAGCACUGUUUGGACGAGGGGCCCC